RNAcentral lists this ribosomal RNA (459 nucleotides) under uncultured bacterium. Its description in RNAcentral is "partial 16S ribosomal RNA". It matches the Rfam family "Bacterial small subunit ribosomal RNA", at positions 338 to 795 of the family's 1533-position model. The record is from RNAcentral.
CCUACGGGUGGCAGCAGUGAGGAAUAUUGGUCAAUGGCCGGAAGGCUGAACCAGCCAAGCCGCGUGAAGGACGAAGGUGCCAAGCAUUGUAAACUUCUUUUGUCAAGGGACAAAAUCAGGCUCGAGAGCCUGACCGAGGGUACUUGAAGAAAAAGCAUCGGCUAACUCCGUGCCAGCAGCCGCGGUAAUACGGAGGAUGCGAGCGUUAUCCGGAUUUAUUGGGUUUAAAGGGGGCGUAGGCGGGCGGUUAAGUCAGCGGUAAAAGCCCGGGGCUCAACACCGGCGAGCCGGUGAAACUGGUCGUCUUGAGAGGGCGAGAGGUAUGCGGAAUGCGCAGUGUAGCGGUGAAAUGCUUAGAUAUCGCGCAGAACUCCGAUUGCGAAGGCAGCAUACCGGCGGCGAUCUGACGCUGAGGCACGAAAGCGUGGGGAUCGAACAGGAUUAGAUACCCGGGUAGUC